GUAGGAAAAAAAGUUCCACGGCCAGUUAAAUCCCGUUAUUUUGUCCUUCAGAGCACAUUCAAUUAGGACACACAGAAGGAGGAGCCCUGAAAAUCAAUGUGGAUGGCUCAUUCGAAGAAGGAUCGGUUGACGGAGCCAUUGUGUGCAUCUGUUGGGACCACUCUGGAAGACUCAUUGCGGCCUUGCUAAAUCGAUGAAAGUCUCGUCUCAGGCGUAAGCGGAAGCCCUUGCUGUGUUCGAAGCCCUCCACCUCGUUUCCAGAAGCUUUUCUCAGUUCAAUUCUAUCUGCAUUAUGUCGGAUCGGUUUGAUUUGGUUAAUGCCCUGACAAGCCAAAAUCCAGAUCACUUUAACUGGGAAAGGAGACUUCUCAUCGUGGACUACCUAAAGAUUAUAUCAGCCCAUCUUCGGGCUCUCCUGGCCCA
Long non-coding RNA from Rhodamnia argentea, 423 nucleotides. RefSeq lists it as uncharacterized. The transcript is spliced from 3 exons. The record is from RefSeq and is a predicted model, not a curated record. NCBI's taxonomy places the organism in Eukaryota, Viridiplantae, Streptophyta, Magnoliopsida, Myrtales, Myrtaceae.